Molecule: non-coding RNA, 28 nt
Filed under: Cricetulus griseus (Chinese hamster)
Lineage: Eukaryota; Metazoa; Chordata; Mammalia; Rodentia; Cricetidae
Source: RNAcentral
UUGGAGCUCCAGUGAUAAGACACAGCAG